RNAcentral lists this transfer RNA (71 nucleotides) under Microcerotermes nr. havilandi TBRU3.18a. Its description in RNAcentral is "tRNA-Trp". It matches the Rfam family "tRNA". From Rfam's summary of the family: Transfer RNA (tRNA) molecules are approximately 80 nucleotides in length. Their secondary structure includes four short double-helical elements and three loops (D, anti-codon, and T loops). The record is from RNAcentral. Lineage: Eukaryota; Metazoa; Arthropoda; Insecta; Blattodea; Termitidae.
AAGGCCUUAAGUUAAGCGUCAAACUAAUAACCUUCAAAGCUAUAAAUAAAGGGUCUAUCCUUUAGGCCUUG